AUUGAACGCUGGCGGCAGGCCUAACACAUGCAAGUCGAGCGGAGCGGGGACGGGUGAGUAACACGUGGGUAACCUCCCAUCAGAGGGGAUAACACUUGGAAACAGGUGCUAAACCGAUACUGAUGGAUGGACCCGCGGUGCAUUAGCUAGUUGGUGAGGUAACGGCUCACCAAGGCCACGAUGCAUAGCCGACCUGAGAGGGUGAUCGGCCACACUGGGACUGAGACACGGCCCAGACUCCUACGGGAGGCAGCAGUAGGGAAUCUUCGGCAAUGGACGAAAGUCUGACCGAGCAACGCCGCGUGAGUGAAGAAGGUUUUCGGAUCGUAAAGCUCUGUUGUUAGAGAAGCGGUAACUAACCAGAAAGGGACGGCUAACUACGUGCCAGCAGCCGCGGUAAUUC
Molecule: ribosomal RNA, 403 nt
Filed under: uncultured bacterium
Lineage: Bacteria
Description: partial 16S ribosomal RNA
Rfam family: Bacterial small subunit ribosomal RNA
Source: RNAcentral